UACAUAGGCUUCAAGCGUUGUCCGGAUUUAUUGGGCGUAAAGAGUUCGUAGGCGGUCGAGUAAGUCGGGUGUGAAAAUUCUGGGCUUAACCCAGAGACGCCACCCGAUACUACUUAACUAGAGUUCGGUAGGAGAGAGGGGAAUUCCUAGUGUAGCGGUGAAAUGCGCAGAUAUUAGGAGGAACACCGGUGGCGAAGGCGCCUCUCUGGACCGAUACUGACGCUGAGGAACGAAAGCAUGGGUAGCAAACAGG
RNAcentral lists this ribosomal RNA (253 nucleotides) under uncultured bacterium. Its description in RNAcentral is "partial 16S ribosomal RNA". It matches the Rfam family "Bacterial small subunit ribosomal RNA", at positions 524 to 776 of the family's 1533-position model. The record is from RNAcentral.